GGAAGGUGGUCUAAUUCAGUGCUUAGCACUCAGCUUGCUCAGGGCUUGGAAAGAGACCCUUCGAUAGUGAGGCAGCUCUUACAGAGGAAUCCAAAGGGGAUUCUAGACAAUAAAGCGGUUGCAAACUCCCUUCAGGAAGAGUAGGGAGGUACCGAAGAGACAAAGACAACUAUGUAAGGCUUAGACAAAGCUACUACCGAGACUCCUUUCUUUGGAAAGCUCUCUCUUCAACAAGCACUCUUGCAAAGAGAAUCAGGGCGGGCUAGCUCUCUCUCUUCAAGCACUCUUGCCUAAUCAGGGCUAGCUCUCUCUCUCUUUCAAUAAGAACUAUAAUCGAAUCACUCUUACCAUUCAAGCACGACUUAUAGCUAUCUAUCCCGACUACUUGUGCUAUGGACUAUCCCGACUACUUGUGCUAUGGAAAGUUCUAAAACUACUAAACGAAAGGAAGGCAAACAGCUUAUGACCAGGAAAAGUACUACAACAACUAUGCCAGCUAUGAAAGUGAGAUCUAUCAUGAACAAGACAAUUCCACUAGAAAAGCGAGAGACAGACCUGCUGUUAAAGUAAGACAAUCAAGAGCUAUAUAGCUAGAAAAUGAUAGACUUGUAAAGUGUGAGACAGAUGACCUGCUCUCUUUAUUGGCGAGAAGAUAAUAAGUCGAAAGGACAAAAAACGAAGCCCUAACCUAAUAAGAAGGAAGAACUACUUCUGGAAGGGUAAGAAACUCCACGGACCUAAAAAAGAGAAAAGAAAGCAAAGAAGAGACCAACUUCUGAGAUACCCGCUAGCUUAGGUCUCAGUGAGCAACGAGCUUCUUCAAUAGCUAGCCUAGCCUUCACCGCUACUUCUUUAUUAUAGUUGUUUAUUAUCAUAUAUUACAGAACGAUUCCUUUAGCCCUACCCUAGCUCCAAAAGACUAGCUACACUCUUUCCAUUCCUUUUCUAAGAGACACUUGAUUUGAUACUAUACUUGCAGAGACACUUUCUUUUAUACUAUACUUGCUAAAGGAAAGGAAAGGCGAAGUAUCAACUUAUCUAACACAAGCACAAGUGCCUAUGCCUCUCUGUCCUAAAGUAGUAUAGGGUUCCCGAUAUUCUAGAGUAACAUGCUUUUGACCCAAUGUUAGAAUAUUGCACACUUAUAUGAAAUUCUUUAGUGGAGUCGAGUCUCAGAUAUACAUACAUACAUUCUGAAUUCUUAAGUCGAGUCUCAGAUAUACAUACAUUCUUAAGUAUAGCCGAGUCUCAGAUAGACAUAUUUGUUAUACGCCGCUCUUCUCUAUCCGUAUUCUUAUCUAUCAUAUUCUACUUAUAUAUCUUUUAUUACUUUACAGAACAGAGCACAGGCCUAACUCAGCCUUGUGUUUCAUCCGUGCUCAAGCAGUCUCCUCGUUUCGUAUCAAGAAGGGAGUGGAGCUGAUCUAGCGUUAGCGAGCUACUUUCCCGGGGUUCAAUUGAUUGAUACCUUACUUUAGACUUUCUACUCAACUUGCAUUAAUAACUAAGCUAAGUCGGCGGAGUUGGGCCUAAGUGAAGUCAACCAUUCAUUUCAUAUUCCAUCUAUAUAGCAUAUGAGAUAUCUAUAUCAUAGUAAAGUCUAACCUCACUCUAAGAUCAUUGUCUUUACUUCAAUCUAUACCCCAUACAUCAUGUGCAAGAAAGAGAACAAGCAAGUCCAACAAGUAACUGAGCAAGCAAUCCAACAAGCUAAUCUAGAUUUGUAGGUUCAGAGCAAGUCCAACUAGCAAUGGAAGAAACAACGGGUAGAUCACCAUCCGCGGGAUCUUCUGCUGCUAUUGGGUAAUCUUCAAGCCUUUGUUUGUGCUUCUGUUAUUGGCUUUCCCUUAUUGAGUAGUGGUCCAACUGAACUAAUUAACACAGACCUAUGAGCUGGAACAACAACUUGCGGACUUUUUCCCUUGCUUAUUUUAGCACAACGGGGAACUAUACAAUAAUAAUGCUAGUUUGCUCGUAGAACUCAACAAUACACUUUGACUUCUCUUCUUGAACUCACAAACCUCAAGGACUAGAUUGAGAAUUAGUAUAUCAGUCUUAAGUAGCCAGAUAGAGAAUUAGUAUAUAAGACAGUAAGUAAGAAAGACAGUAAGUAGAUCUAAUAAAGUGACAACAUUGCGUACUUAUCAAGCAGCAACAACAGUGUUACCAGUGAACAAACAAUCUGAAUGACGAAAAUCUUUUCCUGAACGUGUUAACUCCAAUAACUUGAAGAACUGUUUCCCUUACUUCCGGACUCCUUAAGAACUGCUUCCUUCGUAACUCCCACCUUGAGCCUGGUAUGAGAGCUAGAAUUGAGUGCACCUAGGAACUGGUCACUGUAAUACGGCUUAAAUGCAUUUAAACACCCGAUAGGGUAGCUUGAUGAUGGAUGUUGUUUGUUUAUAUUCGAGUCGUUUCCCGUAGGUGAAAGACCAGAAAGAUGCCUUUUUCAAACGAUGAAGUCUAAAGUGAGAGAGAAAUAAGAUCCGUUUGAUAAGAAGCCGAAGAUCAUAUCCUUUCGAAUGCUUAGCUAAGCUUAGCCCACUGAGCCUGCGUUAAAGUGUUUCUUCGGGGUGUCUCUCUUGCUAUUGACAAGGUGCUUCAAGCCUUUCUAGCAAUAGAGUCCGGAAAGCUUCAAGUAAGGGCGGAGGUUGGCGCGUAAAGAAUAGAUGUUGUCUCAAGUAAGAGGUAAGGAGCUGAAUUGCCAGUUCCAGAAGAAAGAAGAAGGAGCGGGAAGGGAAGUCGACUCGAAUUGCAAGUUCGAAAGUCCGCAGAGGAAGCAUGUGCCUACGGAACAAGCAAAUCACUUCUGGUUUUUGGGUGCUAACAUUUAAUGAGUUCCAACAAGCUAUGUUCCUAAGCGCGUUGUUGAGUUGAGUUCAAUGUUUAAGACGGAUAUUAUUCUUUUCUUAAAGCAAGAGCGAUUCGGUGCCUUAGCCGACAUCAAUCUUCUAUUCUAUUCUAUGGGUGAGUUAAGUAUUGAGUAAGGAGUCAGGGAGCAGUAAGCAAUGCGGAGUUACUCUCUUAUGGGAGCAGUAAGCAAUGCGGAGUUAUUCUCUUAUAUAAUAUGCGGAUCAUGUGAAACAAGCUAGGGCGCUAAGUCAAGUGAAAAAGGUAUUUUGUAAAGCCCACUAAGGAAGGGUAGUAAACGUCGUCCAGCUGCCUAUGUACUGCAAGAAAGCGUGCCUUUUCUUUGUUGACCGGCGGAAGCGGUAAGUCAAGAAGUGUCCGGGUGCUAGGAAAUUCGAUAUUCUUUUCUUUUGAGGCUAAAGGGAAAGAAGACUGUGCUGGUUUCCUAGGCGCAAGUGAAAUAAAUGCAUUCUUUUUCUUUGUUUUACUCGGUGCAAGAGAGAUUAGCAAGAGAUGAUGACUUCUUUUCUUUGUCAGUUCAAUUUCCAUUAAUUUGUUUGUCGGCGCUACAAGUAAGGUGGAGUUUUCGUCUUAAAGUAGAGCAAGGAGUCAGCUGUAAGGUAGAGCCAGAGAAAAAGUAAGCUCUUUGUUUGAGAAUCUUUCUACCCUUACGAGUCAUCAAUAGAGUCAGCUGUAAGCCGUAAGCUGUGAGGGGUUCAAACUAGCAGUGAGGUUUUUUAGGUUGUUGCCUUCAUUGUAUACUAUGUCCGUGAAAUGAUGAAAUAUGUCCGUGAAAUGAUUAAAGCAACAGCGAAAGCUGCAAGGGAAUAAAGAUCGUCAGUAGUAGAAGAUAAGAUGAUGCUGUAUCUUGACUCCCAUCUAGCUGUAUCUUGACUCCCAUCUAUACAAAGUACUAGCAAGUCUGGUUUUGUUUUUAGUAGGACAGGAACCUGAUCUUCAGCUGUGCGAAAGGAAUCCAAUAUGGAGUUUUCAAUGAAAGGUAUUGGUUGGUGUCGAGAGUUUGAUUACCGAGUGCUGUCUUCAACUCGAAGGCGGGGCACCCAUACAAUAUCACAGCUUCGUAUUAAUGGAGUAGGAGGUCACUGAGUUACCUAGAAAAGUCAUAAACAGCCUAACACUGAAUUGGCAGUCCACUUAGGUCAAGUCAAGCAAAGGUUCUCGGGGGUGAAUGAAUUUACUAGAUGGUUUCUCUACAUUGGGGGCAGUAAUUCAGAAAUGCUCUAAUGGAUGCCCAUAGUCACCAACAUAUAAAACAUUCUAGACUUACCCUUUCACUAGACUUGUAUACAGUAAAGGCAGUAAUAAGUUUGAUUAAUUAGUUCAGCACCAUAUAGUGUGAAGCUCGGGAAAACAUCUUGGGACGGACUAACUGCUUUGAAGGGAAAGGCUGUCUCAUGAACUGGAUUGCGGGUGGUAAGGGGAGAGCGGGGACUACGUGAAGCAUUUCAUAUAAAUCUCAUUCGAUUCUUGCAUUAGUGGGCCAUACACAACUCUAAGAUUCCCCUAUUCUAUUCCAAUUUGUAGUUAGGAGAAAAGAGACAACCUGCCCCCACUCAUGGGACUUCGAAAGAAGGAAUAAGCCAAAGCAAGAAAGAGACGGGUAGGUAGGGGCUAGCUCCGCCUUACUGCCAGGCUUCCCAUUGAGAAAGUGGCCGACGCCCUUAUUAAUGAAACCCAUAUGAUCCCACCCAUACAUAUAAGUAAGAGAAAGAGAGAAGUUAUUCCCAUACAUAUAAGUAAGAGAAAGAGAUAAGUUAUUGAUUUUGUACAUUUCAUAUUUGUACUGGUACUAAAAUAUAGUGAAUAAUGUGGGCAAGGCAUCCACACUCAUUUUCUAAGAUAAUAGAAGUGUUUACAAUAGAUAU
This 4736-nucleotide long non-coding RNA is filed under the name Musa acuminata (dwarf banana). RNAcentral describes it as "long non-coding RNA (MACU_LNC007516)". The record is from RNAcentral. Lineage: Eukaryota; Viridiplantae; Streptophyta; Magnoliopsida; Zingiberales; Musaceae.